This is a transfer RNA of Brevundimonas abyssalis TAR-001, 72 nucleotides long. It matches the Rfam family "tRNA". Rfam says of the family: Transfer RNA (tRNA) molecules are approximately 80 nucleotides in length. Their secondary structure includes four short double-helical elements and three loops (D, anti-codon, and T loops). Lineage: Bacteria; Pseudomonadati; Pseudomonadota; Alphaproteobacteria; Caulobacterales; Caulobacteraceae. The record is from Rfam.
GCGGGCGUAGCUCAGGGGUAGAGCAUCACCUUGCCAAGGUGAGGGUCGGGCGUUCGAAUCGCCUCGCCCGCU